UUUACAAGAUCGCGAAAUCAUUUAACUUCCGGUUGUUAAAAAUGGUGAGCGAAAGAGCUUAGAGGAAGUUUGACACAUUUCCUCCGCAUUUCCGCAAUGGUUUCUCAAAUCGAACGGGAGUUUGAAGAAUUCGAGUCACAGCAACAGUGGCAACAGGUGUAUCAGAAAAUAAAAAAUGAAUCCAUGCUGGUAUCCAUCUCUGAAAAGCACAGUGUUGGAGAGGCUCGAAAGCCAGAAAAUAGAUUGAAAAACCGCUACAGGGAUGUCAGCCCUUAUGACCACAGCAGGGUGAUUCUGCAGGAAGGGGAUUCUGACUACAUCAAUGCCAGCAUCAUACAAGUUCCUGAGUCCAACCGGACCUACAUUCUGUCUCAGGGCCCCUUGGAGCACACAGCAGGCCAGUUUUGGCAGAUGAUCUGGGAACAAAAUUCAAAAGCUAUCGUCAUGUUGAACAGGGUGAUAGAGAAGGGCGCUGUGAAGUGCCACCAGUACUGGCCCCUAGCGGACGAUGAGGAGGAAGAGGAGAUGGUGUUUGAAGACCAUGGUCUCAAGAUCACCCUUCAUGAGGAACAGGAGAUGAGCGACUACACCAUCAGGACAUUUGAUCUCGAGAAUUUAAAGACUGAAGAAGUGAGAGAGGUGUAUCACUUCCACUACAUGACGUGGCCAGAUUUUGGCAUCCCGUCCUCCCCAAUCUCGUUCCUCGAGUUUCUCCAAGAAGUGAGGGAUCGGGGAGUGCUCUCCCCUGACGUGGGUCCAGCAGUGGUUCACUGCAGCGCGGGCAUCGGACGCAGUGGCACGUUCUGUCUUGUGGACUCAGCUCUGAUUCUUGUGGAGAAGACCGGGACCAUGCACGGCAUAGACAUCCAGUCCCUAUUGCUGUCCAUGCGCUCGUAUCGCAUGGGCCUCAUCCAGACACACGACCAGCUCAAGUUCUCCUACAUGGCCAUCAUAGCGGGCGGCCGGCAGAUCAUGCAGGCUCGGGCAGCCAGUGGAAAACACAUCGGUAGUGUUCACAGGGAAUAUAAUGAUGAUCAGCUUGAUGACGAAGUCCCUGUCCCACCAGAGAGGAAGGAGAGUCUCCUAUCUCGAGGACAAAAACCUCCGCCCCCACCGGUGCGUAGUUUCAAAGUUGAUGAUUCACCUGAGCCUCCAAACAAGCAACAGAAACUCGAUGACUCAACAGGUAUUCCCGAGAAACCCCCUAGAGCUCAUGUCUUCUUGAAAGAUGAAAACACGUCGGAAUAUUUGACGCCUUAUGAGGGUGACACUGCACCAGAGAGUUACGUCAACUGUAACACUAUACACACAAAUAGGGGAGUAAUUGUCGCUAACAAUACAAACCAUGAGGACAGAGACUCUGAUAUCAAGGCAGCAGGGCAUGCCGAGGAAAAUGUGGCAAACAAUUUGAAUGAAAAUCAGAAUGUAGGAGAAGAAACUCAGACAGAGCAGUCGGAACAUAAUGAACAUUCUGUCUCUGACCAGAGUCACACAGAAUUAAGGCAGCGUCGGAAAGAAGAAAGGGAAAAGAGAAAGGAAAAAACAAAGGAAGUUAUUAAGAAAAUGAAAGAGAAACAACAACAAAAUGAGAUAUGGAAAAAGAGAAAAUCUUAUUUCAAACCUAUUGCAAUCGGUUUGACUCUAUUGUUAGGUUCCUUUAUACUUUACAGAUUUUUCUGGUAGCUAUUUUUUACUUGUUUGGUUUGAUUUCUUUCUUUUGUAUGCAUUUAACAUGCAUUUAACAUUUUGCCUUUGUAUGUACACAUAAGUAAAGCUUUAUUUGUAAACAGUAGAUGUUCGAUGUUGAAUAAUGUGCAUAUUAAAAAAGGGCUGUACCUUCCCUUAAUUCUGUAGAAACCGUAAUUGUGUACAUUGUUAUUAUUCUUGAUUAUUGCAACAGUUCUGUUAUUUCACUGGAAUAGCUGGACAACGUGGAACUGACGCUCGUGAACUCAAUAAGCAUAAUUAUACGCUUGAAUUGUUUUCUUUUUUAUGCCCCCGAAGGAGGGCAUAUAGUGAUCCGUCUGUCCGUCCGUCCGUCUGUCCGUCACACUUUGCAUUUAGGUUUAGAAAAUUGCUCAUAACUUCUAUGUUGCUUCAGAUGUAACAUUCAUAUUUGGUAUGCAUGUGUAUAUUAACAAGGCCUUUCCAUAAGCACACAAAUUUUGACCCCCUUGACCUUGAACUUAGGGUCCGUGUUUAGGUUUCGAAAAAUGCGUUUAGGUUUCGAAAAAUGCUCAUAGUUUCUUUCAAAGCGUUUAUUGGGGGCAUAUGUCAUCCUAUAGAGACAGCUCUUGUUUAUUAUGCUCCCGAAGAGUGGAAUAUAGUUUUUGAACUGUCCGUCAGUCCAUCUGUCUGUCCGUCAGUCCGUCCGUCCAAAAAAAUUAAGAUUGCCAAUAACUUUUGCAAUCUUGAAGACACCUUGAUAUUUGGCAUGCAUGAGUAUCUCAUGGAGCUGCACAUUUUGAGUGGUGAAAGGUCAAGGUCAUCCUUCAAGGUCAAAGAUUAAAUAUAUGAUAUAUGGCUUGCUUCAAAGCGGCGCAGUCUGGGGCAUUGUGUUUCUAGCAAACACAUCACUUGUUUGUGCAAGUUUUGCAUGAGUUAAACAAGGCCACAACUAUAUAUUUUGAUGUAUUGAAAUCAAGUCCAAUAUGGAAACAAAUAUAUUCAUCGCAAUUGUAUUUGAAUAUAUGUAUGCAUAAAGGCCAGUGUCUGGUUAAUAUUGGCAAGCUGAAGUGUCAUAAAGGCCAGUGUCUGGUUAAUAUUGGCAAGCUGAAGUGUCAUAAAGGCCAGUGUCUGGUUAAUAUUGGCAAGCUGAAGUGGCAUAAAGGCCAGUGUCUGGUUAAUAUUGGCAAGCUGAAGUGGCAUAAAGGCCAGUGUCUGGUUAAUAUUGGCAAGCUGAAGUGGCAUAAAGGCCAGUGUCUGGUUAAUAUUGGCAAGCUGAAGUGGCAUAAAGGCCAGUGUCUGGUUAAUAUUGGCAAGCUGAAGUGGCAUAAAGGCCAGUGUCUGGUUAAUAUUGGCAAGCUGAAGUGGCAUAAAGGCCAGUGUCUGGUUAAUAUUGGCAAGCUGAAGUGGCAUAAAGGCCAGUGUCUGGUUAAUAUUGGCAAGCUGAAGUGGCAUAAAGGCCAGUGUCUGGUUAAUAUUGGCAAGCUGAAGUGGCAUAAAGGCCAGUGUCUGGUUAAUAUUGGCCAGCUGAAGUGUCAUAAAGGCCAGUGUCUAGUUAAUUUUGGCAAGUGGAAGUGUCAUAAAGGCCAGUGUCUGGUUAAUUUUGGCAAGUGGAAGUGGCAUAAAGGCCAUUGUCUUGUUAAUAUAGGCAAGCUGAAGUUACAUAAAGGCCAGUGUCUGGUUAAUAUUGGCAAGCUGAAGUGGCAUAAAGGCCAGUGUCUGGUUAAUAUUGGCAAGCUGAAGUGGCAAAGGUCAGUGUCUGGUUAAAAUUUAUGAGAAGUUGAAAAGGUGUACUAGCAAUUACAAUUACAGUAACAUCAUGAUUUAUUUUCAAUCACCGUUAAAACAGGUCUGAAGUCUAAACAUGAGAAGCUUUUAUAGUUAUUUUAAUUGUACUCAUUUUGGUAGGAUGCUCGAAAUAACUUUUUGAUCUUAACAUAAAUUUUAACCAGCGUAUAUCAUAAACACAGAUAUGUUCUCGUAGAAUAGAUUCAGAAACUUAACAUCUGUUCUUUAUAUUUUAAAUCAUUUAGAUAUUUAGAUUAUUUAUAUAGAAAGUUAAUUAUUAUUCUUUUGGAGCCUAUGAUAACAACCAUAGCAACAUAACAUUGUUUCAAAAACAUAUUUGCUACAUUGAAUUACCUGUGUUUGCCUUUGUCAUUAUUUUUUGUUCAAUUGUGGGUGUGUUUUCAUCAUUAAAGCUUAUUAAAGCCAACUAGAGUUUUUGAACGGGUAUCAUAAAAUAAUCACACAAAUUUGUUUGUCAUUUUUAUGCAAUGUCAAUUAGCAAAAUCAUCCAAAAAAAUUGUAGAAUAAUAGAGCAUUUGUUACUCUUUCCUUUGGACAUUUGGAAAUACUCUUGCCAGUUUCAUCCCUUUAAUAGCCAUGAAAUUAUAAUUAUUUGUAAGAACAGCAUGCGGGCUACAUUGUAGCUCAGUUGGUAGAUCUCUGGAUGGCCUUUCAGAGAAACUAAGGUUUGAUUCACUGCCUGGCCAUAUGGUGUGUGAAUUUGUGAUGAAAUUAUCUGCCUACAAAUUAUUUAAGUUGGACAGUUCUCAUGAAAUAGACAUAGAAACAUACAAUGGAACUGUUAAAUCAAUUUAACCAUGUGUAAAGUAACUGACCACUGCGAUAUAACUGAAAUACUGUUGAAAAUAAUGUGUUUUUUUUAAUUAACAAAAGAAAACAUUUGUAAGAAAAAAUGGCCAAAAUUAUUUCCAAGCCCUUGUGAAGGAAACACCUUUUCUGUCUUUUUAUAUUGUAUUAUCUGUUACCAUUAGUGUUUAUCUUUUGAAAUUACAGUAAAAACAUUUCAUGAAAAAAUAUGAAAAUUUGUGGACUAGUCCCCUUAAGUUAUGAACAGAUUUGAGACCAAAAUAAAUUAAAUGUUGUUUUUGUGUUUAGUCUGUGACUCAUUUCAUCACACAUUAGAGCCUCGAUCUGUGAAAAGGGGUUUAAUGCAUGUGCGUAAAGUGUCGUCCAUGAUAAGCCUGUGCAGUCCCCACAGGCUAAUUGGGGGCGACACUUUCCGCUUUUAUGGUAUUUUCUGUUGAAAGGAAGACACUUUUUAGCGAAAAUCCUGAUUAGGUGGAAGUGUCAUCCCUGAUUAGCCUGUGUGGACUGCACAGGCUAAUCUGGGAUGAUACGCAAUUCACAUGCAUUAAACCCCUUUACAUAUAGCAUGGCUUAUAUAAUAUGACCUUAAAGGGAGCUUUUUACAGACUUUAGCAUGUAUUAAAUGCUUUUAAUUGAUAAAUGUAAACAUUGGAACUAAAUAGCUCCAUUUAGAAACAAGAAUAACACAAAAGAAAGAAAAAAGUAAUCCUCAACUGGGCUCUAACCACUGACCUUUGGAGUAAAAGUCUUGCUCUGUAACCACUUGGCCAUCCGUUCUCACACAGGGUAUAGCGUAUUUGUAUACAUUAUAUAAGCAAUUCUCCUUUAAAUAUGUCACAAAAUAUAACAAUAACAACAGAACUCUCUAAAUGAUUCAAUCGUUUCGUGUUUGUAACACUCUAUAAUUUUUUGGUUUUUAAAUCUUCAAAAGAUGCAUGUAAUGGAUAUUUUAGAGCAUGGUACAUGUAUAUGUUCAGUAUUACUGUUUCAUAGCAAAUAGCAUAACUACACCGAAAGUUUGCAAAUGUGAAACAAUUUUUUUCAAUUUUGUCAAUUACCAAAACCUGAAAAGGUCUCUUUAAACUGCACAUACUCAAAUACUUCAGUAGCUGACUUGUUCCUUAGUUUAAUAGCUUUGUAGGUUCUGCAAACUUUAAAACUUGCCAGUUUGUAUAUUUACUACUUGAUUAGCCUUGUAAAGUAUAUUAAGUAUGUAUGUUUUCAUGGAGAGAUUUCUAUCAUGUUGCAUACAUGUACUAUGUUAAUUGUUACAUAUGUUAUAGUUUGAUAACUUUUAUAAUUCUAUCAACAAUUUGUUUGCCAUUUAUAAACUCUUUAUAUUCACAUAAAAGUAUGUUCAUGCGUAUGUACAGCUUAUAUGUCACGAUGUACUCAAAUUUAAUUACCCAUCAAGUUAUUACCUAAGACAUAAGUGGCAUUUUUAUGAACAAGUUAUUUGUUUGGAAUUGUAUAAAUAUUGUCACUGUUACACAUGGCCAAAUAAUUUGAGGUAGUAAAAUCAGUGUGAAUAAACUGAGCUCAAAAUACUGUUUCACGCAAGAACACUAUUGUUAAAUAUUGACCAACAUGGUUAUUAUAAGAUGUGUUUUCAUUGGUUUGUUAACUACGGUGAAUAUCCCCUUUAUGGGGUCAUUGAUUUUGUAUAAUGAGAACUUUGAAUAUUUUUUUAUUUAUUUAUUUUGAGGGCAGAACAUGUUAUACACAUAAGUUUACUUUACCUCGUACUGUAGGAAGACAGUUACACAAAAAGUCAUGAUGUCAAGUUGUAUAUGUAACACAGUUUGUUUUUUUGCUUUCUGUAUAUUUAUUUUAUCCCUUACGGAUUCACACAUCAUAGUACAGAAAUAACGCAAUACCCAAGAAAGCAUAUCUGUGCAAAUAACUUCUUUCUUUUAAAGGAAAAGAGUUAGCUCCAAAAAGGCAAUUUAUUUUGACAGUUAUUAUGAAUACUAGUACUCAAGUGUUUUAGUAUGAUUAUGUACUAAGAACAAUGUUCAAGGGACUUUUUAUCACAUAUGAUGAAUUAGCUUAAAAAACUCAAAUAUUUGGAAAAGUUUAAAAUAAUUAAACAUGUCUUUGCUGAACUAUCGAUGAACAGUGUUACAAACGCUUUUUCAUUUUUAGCUUAGAUGUUUUCGGAGAAAACCCGUGGUAUUGUCAUAGGAAGCUAGUCCACCGUCAGCUUUGUGCUUUAACCUUAAAAUUGGCUCUAAAAUCAAAGUGCUUCCACCUAACUUCAUAUGUAGCUGCACCUUGAUGACUUCUACAAGCCACACCCAUUUUUGGGUCACUAGGUCAAAGGUCAAGGUCAAUGUGACCUCUAAUAUAAAAAGAAAAAAAAUCUUCUGACAAGCUUUCAUAUAUUCAAAACUGCACCCGCAGUCGAGCGUUGGCACUCGCUAUGCGGUGCUCUUGUUCCACUUUCUAUUUAUGAUUUGCAAUGAACUGAUAUUUUAAACAUGUUUCUUAGUUAAGAGAAUUAGUUUGCUUGUUAAGAUAUCAUGCAUUCAAUCUGUUGAAUCGAUGACAAAUUUAAUUGAAAUUGUAAUUUUGCUGCCAAGAAGUCCCUUUAAAAUGUUAGAAAAGCUUUAUGCAUGUAAGAUAAAACAAUUAUUUCUAUAAUGUUUGCUGCCAAUAAUCUUAAUUAUUAAAAAAUGUAAUGUUUCAUACUUCUUAGAGAUAAUUAUACAUAGACUGCUGUGAUUUGAGAUUAUUUUAGCCCACAUAAGCACCAAGUGCUCUUGCGAGCUAUUGUGUUCACUCUAUGUCUGGCGUCAGGUGUGGUGUAUUUUGCUUCGUCAACUUUGAGCCUGUUACCCCUGUAGGGGCCACAUUUUUAGCUCACCUGAGCACUACGUGCUCAUGGUGAGCUUUUGUGAUCGCCUUUUGUCUGUCGUCCGUUGUCAAUUGUGCGUUGUGUGAUGUCAACAUUUGCCUUGUUCACUCUCUAGAGGCCACAUUUAUUGUCCAAUUUUUAACCAGGUGUUCCAAAGGAAUAAACUGGUUAUUAGAUUGGCGAAUGCGGGCGGGCUGGCGGGCGGGCGGAACAAGCUUGUCCGGGCCAUAACUAUGUCGUUCAUUGUCAGAUUUUAAAAUCAAUUGGCACAUUUGUUCACCAUCAUUGGACGGUGUGUCGCGCGAAAUAAUUACGUCGAUAUCUCCAAGGUCAAGGUCACACUUUGAGUUCAAAGGUCAAAAAUGGCCAUAAAUGAGCUUGUCCUGGCCAUAACUAUGUCAUUCAUUGUGAGAUUUUGAAAUCAUUUGGCACAUUUGUUCACCAUCAUGGGACAGUGUGUGGCACGAAAGAAUCACGUCAAUAUCUCCAAUGUCAAGGUCGCCACGAAUAAAAAUAGAUUUUUUUUUAAAACAAACUUACAAAGGGGGUUAAUUUUGUUUGUUCAUUUCAAAAGUUCAGUUUGAGUUUUCUCCCUUUAUCAGAUUUUUUUUUCACAAUGAAAACCUGGUUUUGUGACAAUUUUGUCCCUUGUCAUGAAAUUUGGUCAGAAAAUUGGUUUCAAUGAUAUCUUGGAUGAGUUUGAAAAUGGUUACGUUUGCUUGAAAAACAUGGCUGCCAAGGGGCGGGGCAUUUUUCCUUAUAUGGCUAUAGCAAUAUCUUGUUAACACUCUAGAGGCCACAUUUAUUGUCCGGUCCUCAUGAAACUUGGUCAGAAGAUUCAUCCCAAUGAUAUCUUGGAUGAGUUCAAAAAUGGUAACCUUGGCUUGAAAAACAUGGCUGCCAAGGGGCGGGGCAUUUUUCCUUAUAUGGCUAUAGUAAAAUCUUGUUAACUUUCUAGUUUGCUCAAUCUUCAUGAAAUUUGGUCAGAACAUUGGUUUCCUGUGUAGUAAAGUUUGGUUUUAUUAUGUCAAUAUAAUGUGACAUUAACUGUGUUAUGUAAUUUUUCAUAACACAGACUUUUCAUAGUUAACAUAACUGUUUUAGUCAUUAACACUUAUGAUAAGCCCUUCAACUAAGAGAUAACUGAAAGAAAGACAACAUGUACAUGAUUUUGCAGUAUUUAUGCAGUAUUUAUCUCCCUUGUUUAACCUGGUUCAGUAAUCUAUUUUUAGUUCUGCUCUGGAAUUUGGGAAGAUAUUGAUCAUUGAUAGAUGCACUGUUCUGAGGGAAAAUUGACUACUCUGCCAUUGAUCUCUUCUGAACUGUAUACAAUAAGCUGUUUUUGGCUGAUUUUAACACCUCUUGAUGCUUUCUUGAAAAGUUAACAGCGCUUGAAAAAGGUUGGAAUUUUGAAAUAAUUAAACUCUAAAUUAUUUUUAACACCAGCAUCAAGACAUUUUGGCAUUAUUUUCUAAAUUAUUUGUAUUAUUUAGAUUAUUUUUAUUUGGCAUUUUCUAAAUUAGAAAGACUCUAUUCUAUUUCAAUGACUGUUGUAAAUUUUUCUUAUUUUUACAUUUGAUUCACUGAAGUUUCCUAUGGUAAUCUCCAUAAAUAUUGUUCUUGAGAUUAAUUUAGACCUAUUUUUUAAACUAGAUUUUUGAAGCACUUUCUAGACUAACAGUUACUUAUAUUUAUAUCAGGUUUUUUUUUACAGAUUUUGAACUUCUUUUUACAUUCAUUAAGGUAUUUGCUGUAUGUUGUUCAUUUUUGUAACGAUACUUAGAUUCUUUAGACUUGGCUUCUACCUGUUCUUAAUUUUCUGUCAUUGUUCUUCAUUUUCCGAGUUCUUGGAAUAAAAAUUAGUUAUUUUUGUUGUUAAAGCUGCCAUUGUUUUCACUUAUAAAUAAACUCUUUGAGUGUAUUUAGGCGUUCAUGACUGAACGCCUUUAGUUAAUUGAAUUACAACCAGUCAGUAUAUUCAUCCUGACCGGUAAUAGGAAUUUGUCAAAUAAAUAUUUCCGCAUUACAUAAGUGCUUACAAAGUUACAUAACUUGUAACCGUCCUGUGACCGGUUCAUUUGCAUAAGCGAAGGAGACCGCACUACCACACCUGGAUAGGACAGUUGAGUUCGAUAAUGGUUUGGAUUGGUAAAAAAACAUGGCCGCCAGGGGGGGGCUUUUUCCUUAUAUUUAUAUAGUAAAAAAGCUUGUGAACACUCUAGAAGUCACAUGUUUUGCCUAAUCAUCAUGAAAUUUUGUCAAAACAUUAGUUAUGUGGAUGUCUCGGACGAGUUUGAAAAUGGUCGUGAUCAUUGAAAAAACCUGGCCGCCAGGGAGUGGGGCAGUUUUCUUUAUAUGUAUAUAGUGACAACAUGUGAACAUUCUAGAAGACACAAUUUUUUCCCAACCUUCAUGAAAUUUUGACAUAUCUUGAAAGAGUUAAAAAAAAUGGUUCAGGUCUGUUAAAAAAACAUGACCGCCAAGGGGCCAUUUGUUGAUCAUUCUUCAUGAUACUUGGUUAGAACAUUUGUUCCAUUGAUAUCUUUGGCUGCAAAGAACAGGUCAUUUCUUUUUAUCUCAGGUGAGCGACUUUGGGCCUUUCAGGCCUUCUUGUUUAUCCAAUCUUGAUAAAACUUGCUAAGACUGUUUAUCUUGACAAUAACUAGGCAGAGUUUGAAUCCAGAUCAUUUGUGUCCAAAAAUUAGGUCACUUAGCAAACCUUAGUCAAGCCUUGUUACUGCGCUAGAGGCCAAACUUAUUCGAAAUGUUUAUCUGAGUCAAGUUUGAAUCUGGGUCCAAAAACUGUGUCACCAGGUAGAAUCUUGUUAACUUCUCUAUGGGCCUCAUAAAUGAUACAAUCUUAAUGAAACAUGGUCAGAAUGUAAAGGCCAAGUUUUAAUCAUGGUCACACAUAAUCAAAUACUAGGUCACCAGGUAAAAUCUUGCUAUAGCGGAUGUAAUAUUUGAAUCUGGGUCAAGUAGGUUCAAUUUCUAGACUACGUGGCCAUUUUUCAACUAUUGGUGUACUAUAAACUCAUGUAAGUGCUUAAGGGCCAUCAUGGUCCUUGUGUUAUAAAAAAAAAUUAAUUUAAACUGUUGUUAUCUUAAUCAACAGCUUUAAAAGGCAUUGUUUUGUUGUCACUUUAGAAAAAAAUUAUGGCAAAUGUUUGUAAUGAUAUGCUUUACUUUGCACUUAAAAGGCAUGAAAAAAAUUAUCAACAAAGUAAGUUUUUAAUAGUUGUUUUUGUGUAGAAUACAGUAAAUGACUUUGAGUCCUGCACAUUAUACACAUGCAAAAUAUUUUAAUGGAGUUGUUUUUAGCUUGUGAAUGGCCUGUAUUAAUCCGUCUAUACCUUGAGUAGACAAUGUGUCCGUAUGUUGGCAACACAUGUAGUUUGUUGUUUCAUAUUUUAUUUUAGAUAUAAAAAUAAUGUUUGCAUGACUCAUAAUAAAAUGAUUAUAGAAAACAUG
Molecule: RNA transcript, 10609 nt
Organism: Dreissena polymorpha
Lineage: Eukaryota; Metazoa; Mollusca; Bivalvia; Myida; Dreissenidae
Gene name: tyrosine-protein phosphatase non-receptor type 1-like
Exons: 12
Source: RefSeq, a predicted model, not a curated record